UUGCUCUUCAACGAGGAAUGCCUAGUAAGCGCAUGUCAUCAGCAUGCGUUGAUUACGUCCCUGCCCUUUGUACACACCGCCCGUCGCUACUACCGAUUGAAUGGCUCAGUGAGGCCUUCGGACUGGCUCGAGGAGGUUGGCAACGACCACCUCAAGCCGGAAAGUUGGUCAAACUCGGUCAUUUAGAGGAAGUAAAAGUCGUAACAAGGUUUCCGUAGGUGAACCUGCGGAAGGAUCAUUAACCUUUCAAAUCAGGGUGCGGCGCGGCCCCCGAGGAGCGGAAACAAUCCUUGGGAGGUAUGCGGGGGCUUCGAGCCCCCCAUUUACGCACGCACGACUGCCAUCCUUACUUUACGAGCACCUUCUGUUCUCCCUCGGCGGGGCAACCUGCCGUUGGAACCGAAUAAACUCUUUUUGCAUCUAGCAUUACCUGUUCCGAAACAAACAAUCGUUACAACUUUCAACAAUGGAUCUCUUGGCUCUGGCAUCGAUGAAGGACGCAGCGAAAUGCGAUAAGUAGUGUGAAUUGCAGAAUUCAGUGAAUCAUCGAAUCUUUGAACGCACAUUGCGCCCUUUGGUAUUCCAAAGGGCAUGCCUGUUCGAGCGUCAUUUGUACCCUCAAGCUUUGCUUGGUGUUGGGCGUCUUGUCUCUAGCUUUGCUGGAGACUCGCCUUAAAGUAAUUGGCAGCCGGCCUACUGGUUUCGGAGCGCAGCACAAGUCGCACUCUCUAUCAGCAAAGGUCUAGCAUCCAUUAAGCCUUUUUUUCAACUUUUGACCUCGGAUCAGGUAGGGAUACCCGCUGAACUUAAGCAUAUCAAUAAGCGGAGGA
RNAcentral lists this ribosomal RNA (830 nucleotides) under uncultured fungus. Its description in RNAcentral is "eukaryotic LSU rRNA". The stretch from base 1 to 241 matches the Rfam family "Eukaryotic small subunit ribosomal RNA", at positions 1593 to 1831 of the family's 1831-position model. The record is from RNAcentral. Lineage: Eukaryota; Fungi.